This 292-nucleotide long non-coding RNA is filed under the name Malurus cyaneus samueli. Its description in RNAcentral is "lncRNA (ENSMCSG00000015305.1)". Lineage: Eukaryota; Metazoa; Chordata; Aves; Passeriformes; Maluridae. The record is from RNAcentral.
CAAUAUUGCCGAAGCCUGAAGAAAAACCAAAGCCUUUGAGCGAAUCUGAUCUUGUUGAUGAAUUCUCAAGGGACUUUGCCUGCCCUGCACAGCCUGCAGUACAACCCAAAGCACCAAAACCCUGCAGCAUAUCCAAAAAGCCAUCAGGCUCUGUGUCUGCAAAAGCCACUGAGGAUAAAGUGGUCCCUCGUGCCGCAGCUUGCACUGUGCAGUCUGCAGCUCCCAAGUCUUCAGUAAGUAACAGAGCCACUUCAGCUGGAGUUAAAGCAAAACUCAGUGUUUAAUCUAUGGA